GAUGAACGCUGGCGGCGUGCCUAAUACAUGCAAGUCGAGCGAACGGACGAGAAGCUUGCUUCUCUGAUGUUAGCGGCGGACGGGUGAGUAACACGUGGAUAACCUACCUAUAAGACUGGGAUAACUUCGGGAAACCGGAGCUAAUACCGGAUAAUAUUUUGAACCGCAUGGUUCAAAAGUGAAAGACGGUCUUGCUGUCACUUAUAGAUGGAUCCGCGCUGCAUUAGCUAGUUGGUAAGGUAACGGCUUACCAAGGCAACGAUGCAUAGCCGACCUGAGAGGGUGAUCGGCCACACUGGAACUGAGACACGGUCCAGACUACUACGGGAGGCAGCAGUAGGGAAUCUUCCGCAAUGGGCGGAAGCCUGACGGAGCAACGCCGCGUGAGUGAUGAAGGUCUUCGGAUCGUAAAACUCUGUUAUUAGGGAAGAACAUAUGUGUAAGUAACUGUGCACAUCUUGACGGUACCUAAUCAGAAAGCCACGGCUAACUACGUG
This 497-nucleotide ribosomal RNA is filed under the name uncultured bacterium. RNAcentral describes it as "partial 16S ribosomal RNA". It matches the Rfam family "Bacterial small subunit ribosomal RNA", at positions 28 to 507 of the family's 1533-position model. The record is from RNAcentral.